RNAcentral lists this unclassified non-coding RNA (2603 nucleotides) under Patiria miniata (bat star). RNAcentral's name for it is "lysine-specific histone demethylase 1B-like, transcript variant X1". The record is from RNAcentral. Lineage: Eukaryota; Metazoa; Echinodermata; Asteroidea; Valvatida; Asterinidae.
AUUAAUGUCAAAGGUCAGAUCUCUCAAAUUUUAUGCACGCUUCAUUGAUUUUUAUCGUGGUUGCAAGCUUCGGUUCUUUGUAGUUCCUGUCAUCUUUGUUAUUUCAAGAUGUCCGGGAGGGUAAAACGAAAACCAGAGAAACUUGUUGAAGACGACGAGGUGGCAUCACCAAGUCCCGCCCCCUCAGGAACCCCAGGGGGCGGAGCUAAGGGCGGCAAGGGUAAGGGGGGUGGACCGGGAGGUAAGAGAGCUCACAGGAGCUGUGAGAAGUCUCGCUGUCCGGAAAAGACGCCGCUGUGCUCCAUAAAUGCCCACGACAGGUGCGCUGGUAGUGGUUACACAAGCCGAUGGUACCAUUUGUCAUCAGGGGAACAUUACUGCAAUGAAUGCUUCGACUACUUCUAUAGAAGCCACCGUGUCGGCUUUGAGCAGGUGGCCCGUUGGAAGCGAGAGUGGAGUUGCACCGGCAAGACCGAACCAAACCUGCGUACCUUCAUGGUGGACCAGUUACUCCCCUACUGGCUUCAGUGCACCAAGCCGGACUGCGGCAAAUGGCGCUCCCUACCCAGUGGUCAAGAAAUCAACACCGAAGCCAUCAGACAGUUCACGUGUGCCGUCGGCAGAACAGCUGAUGCUGGAGAAGGGGAAACUGCCAACCCUUGCGAUGUAGAGGAAGACAUCCGAGUCCAGAAGACCCUGCAACCAGAAUGGCUGGAGACGUUACUCUUUCCUCCUCUUCUCAAGAACUCCCCCGCUGCCCCGUUCCUGGCUUCCUACUUCCCGGACGGCGUGGGGCUCAGCGCUACGUGUGAGCUAGUCAAAAAGAAACCAGGAGAAAGGCAUUCCUACAGUGGCACUUCCAACAUACCAGUUACGGGUGUCAGCCCCUACUUCCAACCCUUCUACCAGCCCGAUGAGCAGGGUAAGGCGAUGUGCGUCCGGCCAGACAUGAUGGAACACGAUGAGAUUCAGGAAUUCCCUGAAUUCACCAAGGAACAACAGAUGUAUCUGGCGCUGAGGAACCUGGUCAUUGCACUCUGGAGCACAAGCUGCAAGGAGUUUUUGACGGUAGAGAAGUGCAUACAUCACCUCAUAGUCCGCGGUCUGAUUAGAAUCCGCUGCGUUCAGCUGUUGGUUCCCGUCAUCCACUUCUUAUCACGGAAAGGUCUCAUCAAUACGGGGCUGCUGAGAGAUCCUGUAGGAGGAUCAUUGUUACCUCCGGAGUUUAACCAGGGUCCAGUGGUCAUCAUCGGAGCUGGCCCCGCGGGCCUAGCUGCAGCCCGUCAGCUGACCAACUUUGGCUGUCAGGUGACCGUCUUAGAAGCCAGGGAUAGAAUUGGAGGUCGUGUCUGGGAUGACGAUAGUCUUGGUGUCUGCGUAGCUAAAGGAGCACAGACAGUCAACGGGUGUAUCAACAAUCCUAUCUCGUUAAUGUGCGAACAGGCGGGACUGAAGAUGAAGCUGAUUCAGGAUCGCUGCCACCUCUUGGAAGGAGACGGUCAACUGAUUGACGCUUCCCUAGAUCGGCGCGUUGAUUUCCACUUCAAUGCCAUGCUGGAUGCCAUAGCUGAAUGGCGGAAAGAUAAGACGCACACCAGCGAUGUCGCACUGGGAAGGAAGCUUUUUGAGAUGCACCGAAUCUUCAUGGAGGAGACGAGCCUGACCUUCACACCGACAGAGAACAGAUUGCUACAGUUCCAUAUCAGCAACCUAGAGUAUGCAUGCGGCUGCAAUCUAUCCAAGGUGUCUUCGCUACACUGGGAUCAGAAUGAAACCUUUGCCCAGUUUGCCGGUGACCACACCCUCCUGCCUGACGGCUACUCAGCCAUCUUCAGCCAGCUAGCCGAGGGACUGGACAUCAGGCUGGGUCAAGCAGUUGUCAGUGUGGACUACUCGAGCAAGACUACGGUGGUCACAACCAGCGACGGAAAGGAGUAUAAAGCAGCCAAAGUUCUUGUGACAGUUCCCCUGGCCAUACUGCAGCAGGGAUUGAUUGACUUCCAUCCUCCGUUGCCCGUCAACAAACAGAAAGCUCUUCAGACUCUAGGAGCCGGAACCAGUGAAAAGAUUGGCAUGCGAUUUCCUCGGAGCUUCUGGGCCAAGAAGACUGCAGGGGCGGAUUACUUUGGCCACACCCCCUCCGUGGAGGACAGACGAGGCUACUUCAGUGUCUUCUAUGACAUGACGCCAAAUAGUAAAGAAAGCCACGUCCUGAUGACAGUACUCAGCGGUGACGCUGUGGAGAAGACCAAAGAUCUCACAGAUGAGCAGAUCAUCGCAGACUGCAUGGAAUGCCUGAGAGGACUAUUCCCUGAAGAGGUAAUUAAUUAUGCAUGCUAGGUCAAAGGUCAAUAAAGAGGUCACUGCCAUUCAGAAAAAGCAAAGAUCUCACAGAUGAGCAGAUCAUCGCAGACUGCAUGGAAUGCCUGAGAGGACUAUUCCCUGAAGAGGAUGUUCCUGAGCCGACGAGUUAUUUUGUGACUCAUUGGUCCAAGGACCCGUACGCUCAGAUGGCGUACAGCUACGUCAAGACCAGCGGGCACGGGGAAGACUACGACACAAUGGCGAUGGACGUCAGCCGGACAGUGUUCUUUGCAGGAGAG